UAUUGUAAUAAGAUUUUAAUUGAAUGCUAAAAGAAUGGAAUUUCAGGGAAAAACUGUUUUAAACUUAAAAAUUAAAUUUAUUUUAAUUUGUGAAGAAACAAUUAUUUAAAUUAAGGACAAGAAGACACUAAGAAUUUUAAAAAUAAUAAUUUUAAUAUUAAAAUUAUUAUUUUUUAGUUGGGGCAACUAAAAAAGAUUAUAAACUUUUUAUUUAAUAAAAUGAUCCAUUAUUAAUGAUAAUUUGAUAAAAAUACUCUAGGGAUAACAGCGUAAUAAUUUUUGAUAGAACAUAUAGACAAAAUAGUUUGCGACCUCGAUGUUGGAUUAGGAUACUUUUUUAAUGAAGAUGUUAAAAAAAGAAGUUUGUU
RNAcentral lists this ribosomal RNA (368 nucleotides) under Dermacentor andersoni. RNAcentral's name for it is "partial 16S ribosomal RNA". The record is from RNAcentral. Lineage: Eukaryota; Metazoa; Arthropoda; Arachnida; Ixodida; Ixodidae.